AUUGAACGCUGGCGGCAGGCCUAACACAUGCAAGUCGAGCGGAUGAAGGGAGCUUGCUCCUGGAUUCAGCGGCGGACGGGUGAGUAAUGCCUAUGAAUCUGCCUUGUAGUGGGGGAUAACGUCCUGAAACGGGCUCUAAUACCGCAUACGUCCUGAGGUAGAAAUUGGGGGAUCUUCGGACCUCACGCUAUCAGAUGAGCCUAGGUCGGAUUAGCUAGUUGGUGGGGUAACUGCCUACCAAGGCGACGAUCCGUAACUGGUCUGAGAGGAUGAUCAGUCACCUUGGAACUGAGAAACGGUACAGACUCCUACGGGAGGCAGCAGUGGGGAAUAUUAGACGAUGGGGGAAAGCCUGAUACAGCAAAGCCGCGUGUGUGAAGAAGGUCUUCGGAUUGUAAAGCAAUUUAAGUUGGGAGGAAGGGCAGUAAGUUAAUACCUUGCUGUAUUGACGGUACCAACAGAAUAAGCACCGGCUAACUUCGUG
RNAcentral lists this ribosomal RNA (484 nucleotides) under uncultured bacterium. RNAcentral's name for it is "partial 16S ribosomal RNA". It matches the Rfam family "Bacterial small subunit ribosomal RNA", at positions 30 to 507 of the family's 1533-position model. The record is from RNAcentral.